Molecule: ribosomal RNA, 761 nt
Filed under: uncultured bacterium
Lineage: Bacteria
Description: bacterial SSU rRNA
Rfam family: Bacterial small subunit ribosomal RNA
Source: RNAcentral
AGAGUUUGAUCCUGGCUCAGGACGAACGCUGGCGGCGCGCCUCACACAUGCAAGUCGAGCGAGGAGCCUCCCUUCGGGGAGGUAUCCGAGCGGCGAACGGGUGAGUAACACGUGAGCAACCUGCCCUCGACACCGGGAUAACCCCGGGAAACUGGGGCUAAUACCGGAUACUUGCCAGUCGGGGCAUCCCGAUUGGCAGAAAGGUUCUCCGCCGCGAGGUGGGGUUCCGGUCGAGGAGGGGCUUGCGGCCUAUCAGCUAGUUGGUGGGGUAACGGCCUACCAAGGCGACGACGGGUAGCCGGCCUGAGAGGGUGAUCGGCCACACUGGGACUGAGACACGGCCCAGACUCCUACGGGAGGCAGCAGUGGGGAAUCUUGCGCAAUGGGCGAAAGCCUGACGCAGCGACGCCGCGUGGGGGAUGAAGGCCUUCGGGUUGUAAACCCCUUUCACCACCGACGAAGCCUUCGGGUGACGGUAGGUGGGGAAGAAGCGCCGGCUAACUACGUGCCAGCAGCCGCGGUAAUACGUAGGGCGCGAGCGUUGUCCGGAUUUACUGGGCGUAAAGGGCUCGUAGGCGGUCCGUCGCGUCGGCUGUGAAAGACCGCAGCUCAACUGCGGAAACGCAGUCGAUACGGGCGGACUAGAGGACGGUAGAGGCAAGCGGAAUUCCUGGUGUAGCGGUGAAAUGCGCAGAUAUCAGGAGGAACACCGAUGGCGAAGGCAGCUUGCUGGGCCGUUCCUGACGCUGAGGAGCGAAAGC